RNAcentral lists this long non-coding RNA (1567 nucleotides) under Equus asinus (donkey). Its description in RNAcentral is "lncRNA (ENSEASG00005025294.1)". Lineage: Eukaryota; Metazoa; Chordata; Mammalia; Perissodactyla; Equidae. The record is from RNAcentral.
CUGGGCUCAGGGGGACCGCUUUGGAGGGGAUGGCCGCGCCCUCUCUACCGCUUGCCUCAGGCGCAUCGCUGUGCAACAGGCAGGACUUCCCGCCACAUUCGCCUACUCCACGGGGAGGCGGCAUUGCCCCGCCUGACCCGGAAGUCUGCGGCCUCCCCAUUGGCUCAGGAAGAGCAGGAGUUGGGGGGCAAGCGAGUGGGCGAGAGCCUGAACCCCUGGACCCACCUCCAGGCUCACUCACCACCACAUAAUCCUCCAUCGUAGUGUCCAGCAGCUCAAGGGAACUGAAGAAUGUCACCAGGGAGGGGACAACACCCUGUGCCGCCAUCGGGAUGGGCAUGGUGAUGAGCUCCCAAUCUCAGGAAAGAGUGAGGAGAACUCCACCUGCCUCCAGCGCUCUCCUAGGACUUCCUGUCAUCUGACUGUCAUCACUGCUCUCCCCUCAGCUCUCGAGGAGGAGCCAGCACAAAUCUCCUCCCAUUCCUGUCAUCCCUUGGACGGUAUCACCCCACCGUGAGGCCUGCACCACGUCAUCUCCCUCCAUUUCCCAGAGGAGGAGACCGAGGCCCACAGAGGGGCAGAGACUUGCUCAAGGACCCACUGAGGAGAGGCCACUCUCCGUCCCAGCCAGAGUCCCUGUCCCCACUGCCUUCACCCCUCGCCCUGCCCCACCACUGACCACGGUCCUGACCUCUGCACUCCCAGAGUGUGUCCCAACAAUAGCCAAACUGAGAUGUGGAGGGAGAGGGCAGAGGGUGUUGGUGGUGGCCGUGUGGCAUCUCCUUCCUGCCCCAUCCACAGGGGUCUCUGAACCCCAGGAUGGCCUUACCAUAGCCUCAGUUCCUAGGAUGCCCUCAGGAUGUUCCCGGCUCCCUCACACACCCCUCCUCCCAGAUCUCCAGCCCCAGGUUACCUUCAGGAGCAGUCUCAUGCUCACGUGCUGCUCUCCCCUGCACCACUUCUUAAAGGUGUAGGAUCUCUCCCUGGGGGAGUGGGGAAAGAAAGAAAGAAAGACUAUGGGAUGGUUGAAGGGCAAAUCCCAUUUGUUUUAGAUCCCAAAAGAUCCAAACAGCCUGGGGCCUGGAUGAGGGAUUUCACUGGGUUGCUCUGAGCCCCGAGGUCCCCAUGGGACUGGGGAGGGGCCUCUCCUGUUGUCACCUGGGGCCUCCAUUCCCAUAUCUACCACACAGAUCUGUUUUGAACACUCUUGGUUUCAGUUGGAUGGAGAUUUCUGUUGCUGCAAAGGAAAAACACUUGAGAAUCUCCAACUGGGCUCAAGUCAGGAUCUGAUAUUGAAGGAAAUGAGUUCCUGGGCAGAACCGCUGGCCUAAGGGCCCUGAGAGGCUCAGAGACCCAGGAACUGGAUCAGUCUGUGUCCCAGGCAUUCACUGUCUCCCAGGUGGUCUCAGCUGACUGCGGGGGCCAUGGCGACCCAUUGCCGGCUGCCAGGUCCACCUCCCCCUCGUGGUGCUUGGAUAGAGAGCAGCCUACCCACCUGGAUACUUGUCCCCAGGUGUCUUUGAGACGCUUAAUGGCAGGGCUCUGCAGAGCAGAAAGGAUCAUGUGU